This 586-nucleotide ribosomal RNA is filed under the name uncultured bacterium. Its description in RNAcentral is "bacterial SSU rRNA". The stretch from base 1 to 514 matches the Rfam family "Bacterial small subunit ribosomal RNA", at positions 338 to 873 of the family's 1533-position model. The record is from RNAcentral.
CCUACGGGAGGCAGCAGUGGGGAAUCUUGCACAAUGGAGGAAACUCUGAUGCAGCGAUGCCGCGUGAGUGAAGAAGGCCUUUGGGUUGUAAAGCUCUUUUGUAGGGGAAGAUAAUGACUGUACCCUAAGAAUAAGGUCCGGCUAACUUCGUGCCAGCAGCCGCGGUAAUACGAAGGGACCUAGCGUAGUUCGGAAUUACUGGGCGUAAAGCGCGCGUAGGCCGUUGAGUUAGUUAAUUGUGAAAUCCCAAAGCUUAACUUUGGAACUGCAAUUAAAACUGCUCGACUAGAGUUUGAUAGAGGAAAGCGGAAUACAUAGUGUAGAGGUGAAAUUCGUAGAUAUUAUGUAGAACACCAGUUGCGAAGGCGGCUUUCUGGAUCAACACUGACGCUGAGGCGCGAAAGUAUGGGUAGCAAAGAGGAUUAGAUACCCUGUAGUCCAUACCAUAAACGAUGAUUGCUAGAUGUUGGAAACUUUAUUUUACAGUAUCGCAGCUACGACAUANACACUCGCGUGGAGUACGACGACGAAGUAACGUACAANAGUAGUAGCGNGNGAGACGCGACGACGACGACGACGAGGAGAG